AGUAACACGUGGGAACCUAUCGUCAAGUGGGGGAUACCAGCGGGAAACCGCUGCUAAUACCGCAUGGGAUCCCAAGAGGAGACUUUUGGGAAGAAAGGCUCAGAGAUGAGUCGCUCGACGAGGGGCCCGCGGCCGAUUAGUUAGUUGGUGGGGUAACGGCCUACCAAGGCGACGAUCGGUAGCUGGUCUGAGAGGAUGGUCAGCCACACUGGGACUGAGACACGGCCCAG
Molecule: ribosomal RNA, 230 nt
Filed under: uncultured bacterium
Lineage: Bacteria
Description: partial 16S ribosomal RNA
Rfam family: Bacterial small subunit ribosomal RNA
Source: RNAcentral